ACUGGGUGGUUCGAGCGCUGAAUGCUGCUUGGCUGACAACUGCUUGGCUGGCAGUCAGCCCAGCUGCUUGGCUGACAGCUGCUUGGCUGACAGCCGUGGUAUAUUUAAGCAAAUAUGCAAGGGGGUGUGGUAUAUGGCAAAUAUACCACUGCUAAGGGCUGUGUCCAGGCAAGACUUAUUGCUUCACAUCUACAGUGCAUUCGGAAAGUAUUCAGACCCCUCCACUUUUCCCACAUUUUGUUACAUUACAGCCUUAAUCUAAAAUGUAAAUACAUUUUUUCCCUCAUUAAUCUACACACAAUACCCAAUAAUGACAUAAUGAAUUUAUUUUUUUGAAAUGUUAGCUAAUGUGUAUAUAAAAAAACAAACAGAAAUAUCUUAUUUACAUAAGAUUUCAGACCCUUUGCUAUGAGACUCAAAAUUGAGCUCAGGUGCAGUGGCUACCCAUCAUUCAGGGCAGGUGGGGCUCUGUUUUUACCACAAAAAAAUGAUAUAAAUGAAAUCACUUCUUGUAAUAAAAAAAAAUGGGGGUUGCCUGUUUGCAUGUUAUUUUGGCAUUAAUAUGUGUCACAUAUCAGUUUGCAAACAAUGUAAUGAAAAAUAUAUACAGUUGAAGUCAGAAGUUUACAUACACUUAUGUUGGAGUUGUUAAAACUAGUUUUUCAACCACUCCACAAAUUCCUUGUUAACAAACUAUAGUUUUGGCAAGUCAGUUAGGACAUCUACUUGUGCAUGACACAAGUAAUUUUUCCGACAUUUGUUUAUAGACAGAUUAUUUCACUUAUAAUUCACUGUAUCACAAUUACAGUGGGUCAGAAGUUUACCUACACUAAAUUGACUGUGCCUUUAAACAACAAAAAUUCCAGAAAAUUAUGUCAUGGCUUUAAAGGCUUCUGAUAGGCUAAUUGACAUAAUCCGAGUCAAUUUGAGGUGUACCUGUGGAUGUAUUUCAAGGCCUACCUUCAAACUCAGUACCUCUUUGCUUGACAUCAUGGGAAAAUCAAAAUAAAUCAGCCAAGACCUCAGAAAAAAAUUGUAGACCUCCACAAGUCUGGUUCAUCCUUGGGAGCAAUUUCCAAAUGUCUGAAGGUACCACGUUCAUCUGUACAAACACAAACAAUAGUACGCAAGUAUAAACACCAUGGGACCACGCAGCCGUCAUACCGCUCAGGAAGGAGUCUCCUAGAGAUGAACAUACUUUGGUGCGAAAAGUGCAAAUCAAUCCCAGAGCAGCAAAGGACCAUGUGAAGAUGCUGGAGGAAACUGGUUCAAAAGUAUCUAUAUCCACAGUAAAAAGAGUCCCAUACCGACAUAAGCUGAAAGGCCGCUCAGCAAGGAAUAAGCCACGGCUCUAAAACUACCAUAAAAAAGCCAGACUACGGUUUGCAACUGCACAUGGGGACAAAGAUUGUACUUUUUGGAGAAAUGUCCUCUGGUCUGAUGAAACAAAAAUAGAACUGUUUGGCCAUAAUGACCAUCGUUAUGUUUGGAGGAACAAGGGGGAUGCUUGCAAGCCGAAGAACAUCAUCCCAACCAUGAACCUCUGGGGUGGCAGCAUCAUGUUGUGUGGGUGCUUUGCUGCAGGAGGGACUGGUGCACUUCACAAAAUAGAUGGCGAGAUGAGGAAGGAAAAUUAUGUGGAUAUAUUGAAGCAACAUCUCAAGACAUCAGUCAGGAAGUUAAAGCUUGGUUGCAAUGGGUCUUCCAAAUGGACAAUGACCCCAAGCAUACUUCCAAAGUUGUGGCAAAAGGACAACAAAGUCAAGGUAUUGGAGUGGCCAUCACAAAGCCCUGACCUCAAUUCUAUAGAAAAUGCAUGGGCAGAACUGAAAAAGCAUGUGCGAGCAAGGAGGCCUACAAACCUGACUCAGUUACACCAGCUCUGUCAGGAGGAAUGGGCCACAAUUCACCCAACUUAUUGUGGGAAGCUUGUGGAAGGCUACCUGAAAAGUUUCACCCAAUUUAAACAAUUUAAAGGCAAUGGUACCAAAUACUAAUUGAGUAUAUGUAAACUUCUGACCCACUGGGAAUGUGAUGAAAGAAAUAAAAGCUGAAAUAAAUCAUUCUCUCUACUAUUAUUCUGACAUUUCACAUUCUUAAAAUAAAGUGGUGAUCCUAACGGACCUAAAACAGGGAAUUUUUGCUCAGAUUAAAUGUCAGGAAUUGUGAAAAACUGAGUUUAAAUGUAUUUGGCUAAGGUGUAUGUAAACUUCUGACUUCAACUGUAUAUAAUUGAGUUUAUAAAGCCUCCAUACAAACAUGCUUUCUUGAGUAAGGCAGCUCCCAAAUGCAGGGUCUAUUUUCACCUCUGAAUUUCACCUACUGUUCUGACUUGGUGGUGCACAUGCAGCCUAUAACAUGUUUUAGAGAAAUGUAAUCAUAGAAUAUUGUAAGAGCUUUCAUUGUCUGCUUAUAUGCCCCAUUAAUUAUCCUACUGUUCUAACUUGGUGUACAGGGAGAACACUGUAAGAAUGGCCCAUUUUCUGAAUUCUGUCGCUGUACAUUUCAAAAGUGGUGAAAAAUAAUUAUAUUGACUAUGUCCGUCCUAGCUCGCUCAUUAAUUAAUGUCUUAAUCGAAAUUACGGAUUGCCUCAUAUCCGCUUGUUGUCCCCUUAUGCCAUAGUUUGUACAUCUCAAUUGUCAGUAGAAACCACAUUUGUUUAAGCAAGUUCCUCAGCGGGCAUCUGAAUGGGCACCUGGUGUUGUUUCUCUAUGCAAAUAAUCUCAGUGCAACACACACACAUACACACCAUGAUGUGAAUGUUUUAGAGUUAAAAUAUGCAAAAUUGUUAUGUUCAUUGAAAAGUGCCCAUCUUUCUGACAGUGGGGUUGGCACAAGAGCUAGUUUGAUUGGUUUGUCUAAAUAGAAGAAUGUCAGACAAUGUGCGCAUUUGUGACUUUAUUUUGCCUGGAGAACGAGUUCCCUGGAGAAUGAAGAGUGUGACCAGGUGAGAGAGAGAUGGUAUGUGUGUGACCGGAGAGAGUUUUACUUUAUGAUUGAGAGAGAGAGCUGUGACCUACUGUGAACAGCAGCACGUACACCUGGAUGUGCAGACAGACAGAGUGUAAUGAGGCAAGGCCAAACACCCCCAUCUCAGCUUGAAACAGGAAUGUAAACUUUUCAUCUAGGGAUGGAGGUAGUGGGGAAGCUGUCUGUCUUCUGGCUGCACCCGAUACUCCUUUCUUUGAUCUUCUCUUUUCUUCUCUCAGUCCUAAAUUCUAAUUUGAUGCACAGAUGUUAUUUUAUGUUCCUGUCUGAUUCAUUUAUUUCCCAUUCAUAAAUCUAUGAGUAGAUAUUGGAGCAGACAACCAUUAUAUGUCAAAGGCAAGGCCUGGUAAUAACUUUUCAAAGGUAACCAUGUGUCUCUUUCUCCCUGUGAUUAAUAUGUCACAGAGCAGUGAGCACCUUAGCACGGAAGGACAAUUUUAUCUUAUUCUACACUAGACAAAAUGAAAAUAAAUGUUUUUUUUUUUUUUUUAAUCAACAGGUUAACUUUAAAAUCAUUCAAUGCGCUAAUAAAAAAAAAAAAUGUUCUUAUCACAAUUGAACAUUGUUUGUACAUAGCUAACGUUAUGACUUUGUUGCAAAAGUAACAAUAUGGGCUUUAUACCAUGGUUUAUGGCGCGACUACGUGGAUACAGUUGGUACUUCCAUAAUUUUGGCGUGGCACUUUCACCAAAACCCAGCUUUAAUUCCAACAUUGAUGAUUGGUUACUAAUCAUGAAGUCCCCCUCCGUCAACAUGAUUGGCAUCCCAAAGCCUUUCUUUCUGUUACGACGUCUUAGAAAUGUGCUACCCAGUUGGUCAACCUAAAUACCCACCCGACAUUUUAACGACAUGACUGGUUCACUGUGUUUGUGGGCGGGUAUAAACUUCCAGAACUGGGCGUAGCAGGAUCUGUGACGUCGUUGAGGGAAACUAAACAACCACCCGUUUACUGAGAUUAUACAGCACAUGGUACCUGCAUUGAUUUAGUCUAAAAACACCAAGUGAACUGAUAGUAUAAAUUUGUUUACAGAGAUCGUCAAGAAAAGCGCAAAAGAACAUGUAAAUAUUUGUGAGGGACCAAGCUGGAACUGGAAGGACUCACGUUAGCUAUGUUUGUAUAAUUUGCUGAGUGCGUGCUACUAACGUUGCUAUUUCAAAACUUUAACUAGUUGUGUACUAUUUAACCGGGUACCAAUGUUAGCUAGCUGGCUAACUGUUGUAUUUGAUGAAGUGGUCGUUGUUGCCUGAGUAAAUUAAACACAGGCGAAACAAAAGCUUGAAAAUGGACACUUCACAUGACACCCGCAGGGUAUGUCACGUGUAAGAUAGGACCUACUGUUGGCUCUGUUGAUAGGGUCUCUUAACCCAGGGGUUCCCAAACUUUUUCACUCUGGGCUCCCCUUCCAACAUUGGGGAACAUCCCGCGCACGCCACGUCUAUUUCUAUGGGCACGGUUGAUGGCACACUGUUCACACCCCUCUUAUUAGUGGAGAGAAUUUUGCAGGUUUAAAGCUUAUUUCCUGCUAUUUUACAAAUUUUUUCAUAGGAUGCAAAUAAGAAUUUGCAGUUUUUUUGGCAAUUCUAUAAAUUGCCACGUCUGUAUUUGAGUGACAAAAAAAUUAAUCAUAUAUAUGGGCAAAAAAAACAAAAUAGAAUAAAAAACAUUAGCUGACAUGGGCUAGUUGAUCUGGACAUUUCUGGCAAGUUAUAAAUAGCUCUCUAAUGUAACAUGACAAGAACUGAUGAUGCACUACCCAAUUUCGAAAUUGAACCUUGUGCAUUCUACUAUUACAACUUUCAAGGGUAUGUUUAAAGCCAGACUGAGACCCCUGUGCCUCCCCCUGCUGAUCCCUUACGCCCCCCACAAGCGAUUUCAACACUCACAUGAUUGCUGACCACAGCAUGGUUGGGUAUAAUUUGUGGAACGUUCCAGAAUCUGUUCCAUAAACCUUGUAGAGUACAAGGUUGCCAACAAACAAUGCAUACAAAGUAACCGAAAUAUGCAUCAGCUCACCACGUACACUACCGUUCAAAAGUUUGGGGUCACUAAGAAAUGUCCUUGUUUUUUAAACAAAAGCACAAAAAAAAUAUCAAUUUAAAAUAACAUCAAAUUGAUCAGAAAUACAGUGUAGACAUUGUUAAUGUUGUAAAUGACUAUUGUAGCUUGAAACAGCUGAUUCAAAUAAUAAUUUAUGGAAUAUCUACAUAGGCCCAUUACCAGCAAGAGCCAGUUUGCGCUGUUUUGUGAAGGGAGUAGUACACAGCGUUUUAUGAGAUCUUCAGUUUCUUGGCAAUUUAUCACAUGGAAUGGCCUUCAUUUCUCAGAACAAGAACAGGCUGACAAGUUUCAGAAAAAAGGUCUUUGUUUCUGGCCAUUUUGAGCCUGUACUCAAACCCACAAAUGCUGAUGCUCCAGAUACUCAACUAGUCUAAAGAAUGCCAGUUUUAUUGCUUCUUUCAUCAGUACAACAGUUUUCAGCUGUGCUAACAUAAUUGCAAAAGGGUUUUCUAAUGAUCAAUUAGCCUUUUAAAAUGAUCAACUUGGAUUAGCUAACACAACGUCCCAUUGGAACACAGGAGUGAUGGUUGCUGAUAACGGGCCUCUGUACGCCUUUGUAGGUAUUGUAGAUUUCAAGCCAGGUCAUUGGGUGGGAGUGAAGUAUAACGAGCCUCUUGGGAAACAUGACGGGCAGGUGAUGGCAACGGACAUAAUUUUGUGACGUCAUCGCAUGGUGUCUGAAAUGUUCACUGUUUAGAGUGUGAAGGAGAAGUGAUACUUUGAAUGUGAGAACAAGUACGGUGCGUUUGUCAGGCCCCUCACAAAGACCGUGUGGAACUUCCCAGAGGAAGACUUUCGUCUGGACGAGAUGUAGUACUGUGAUGCUGUCACCCUGUCAAAGGGCGUGGGCAGUUGGGUUCAACAUUGACCUCCAAGUCUGAUUACAAACCCGGGGUGAGGGACAGUGUCAUGAUUGAUGACUAAUAAUCACUAAUGUGAUUAAUAAAUAAUCUGCAUGGAGGAAUGGGCCAAAAUACCAGCAACAGUGUGUGAAAACCUUGUGAAGACUUACAGAAAACGUUUGACCUCUGUCAUUGCCAACAAAGGGUAUAUAACAAAGUAUUGAGAAACUUUUGUUAUUGACCAAAUACUUAUUUUCCACCAUAAUUUGCAAAUAAAUUCAUAAAAAAUCCUACAAUGUGAUUUUCUGGAUUUUCUUUUCUCAUUUUGUCUGUCAUAGUUGAAGUGUACCUAUGAUGAAAAUUACAGGCCUCUCUCAUCUUUUUAAGUGGGAGAACUUGCACAAUUGGUGGCUGACUAAAUACUUUUUUGUUCCACUGUAUAUUGAAUGAGGAGAGGUGAGAAAAGCACAACGUUUUUGCCUUGUUACAAAUACAUUGUCGAUGUAUUUAAUGUAAAUGAUAACCAUGUGGUCCAACUAUUUCCUUUGAUCCAGUGGAUGUAGAAAGCAAGCGUUCCUAAAUUGAUAUCCUCAGAAUUGAGUUGUAUCUGAAUUGCCCAUCACAUCCUAGAUUCUAUAUCAGGGGUGUCAAACUCAUUCCACGGAGGGCCUAGUGUCUGCAGGUUUUUGGUUUUUCCUUUCAAUAAAGCCCUAGACAACCAGGUGUGGGGAGUUCCUAACUAAUUAGUGAUGUUAAUUCAUCAAUCAAGUAUAAGGGAGGAGCGAAAACCCGCAGACACUCGGCCCCCGUGGAAUGAGUUUGACACCUGUGUUCUAUAUGAAUAGUAGACAGUCAUAAAAAUCACAACAUUGUUCAUCAUAUGUCAAUUAUCAUCCCAAGCCAGGGUUCUAUCAAACUUUCUAAAAUCCCAUGCUUUGGAAUGCAAGAAUUCAAGCAACAACAAAAUAUCUAUUUGUACUACUGACUAGUGGCAAAAUGUUCAGUUUAUUUUAAUUUCUGUUAGUUCAUUGGUUAUUGUACCAUAGAAGCCGUUUGUUUUUGUGUGUCGUGUCCCUGUUCUAGAUUCUGGAAACUUACAUUGUUUCUAACACUCCAACACAACCGCAAAGCUCUCCAGAGGGUGGUGAGGUUUGUGCAACGCAUCACUUGGGGGCAAACUACCUGUUCUCCAGGACACCUACAGCACCCAAUGUCACAGGAAGGCCAAAAAGAUAAUCAAGGUCAACAACCACCCGAGCCACUGCCUGUUCACCCCACUACCAUCCAGAAGGCAAGGUCAGUACAGGUGCAUCAAAGCUGGGACUGACUGAAAAACGUCUAUCUCAAGGCCAUCACAGACUGUUGAACAGCCAACACAGAGAGGCUGCUACCUACAUACCGACUCGAAAUCUUACAUGCUCAUCUCAUAUGUAUAUGCUGUAUUUUAUACAAUGUAUUGCAUCUUGCCUAUGCCGCGUGGUCAUUGCUCAUCCAUAUAUUUAUACGUACAUAAUCUUAUUCCAUCCCUUUAGAUUUGUGUGUAUUAGGUAGUUAUUGUGGAUUUGUAAGAUAUUACUGCACUGUCGGAACAAGAAGCACAAGCAUUUCGCUACACUCGCAUUAACAUCUGCUAAGCAUGUGUAUGUGAACAAUAACAUUUUAUUUGAAUGUCAGAACAUCAGUUGUGCACAUUGACAGCAUACAGUUCAGACUGACUGCCCAGGUGGCGACAAUGCACUUUUCAUGUGGAUAUCACAUCUUAUCUGCGCUUCUACUUCUACUUCAUUGUACUAAUCCUUUUUUUAUUGAAUUGUAUUUUUCCCCGGAUGUUGUCAGCAACUAACAGGCCCAGAAUUGUUCAAGAUUUGUCAUCUGUUUUUAUGAAAUCUCAAAGGUGUUGAUGUGUC
Salvelinus fontinalis (brook trout) is the source of this 7797-nucleotide long non-coding RNA. RefSeq lists it as uncharacterized. The transcript has 3 exons. The record is from RefSeq and is a predicted model, not a curated record. NCBI's taxonomy places the organism in Eukaryota, Metazoa, Chordata, Actinopteri, Salmoniformes, Salmonidae.